Molecule: transfer RNA, 75 nt
Filed under: Candidatus Harrisonbacteria bacterium
Lineage: Bacteria; Candidatus Harrisoniibacteriota
Description: tRNA-Arg
Rfam family: tRNA
About the family: Transfer RNA (tRNA) molecules are approximately 80 nucleotides in length. Their secondary structure includes four short double-helical elements and three loops (D, anti-codon, and T loops).
Source: RNAcentral
GCCCCCGUAGCUUAAUGGAUAAAGCAAGGGUUUUCUAAGCCCUUGAUGCGGGUUCGAUUCCUGCCGGGGGUACCA